CCUACGGGAGGCAGCAGUGGGGAAUAUUGGGCAAUGGAGGCAACUCUGACCCAGCAACGCCGCGUGAAUGAUGAAGGUCUUCGGAUUGUAAAGUUCUUUUCUAAGGGAAGAAGAAAGUGACGGUACCUUAGGAAUAAGCCUCGGCCAACUACGUGCCAGCAGCCGCGGUAAUACGUAGGAGGCAAGCGUUUUACGGAAUGACUGGGCGGAAAGGGGGCGUAGGUGGUUUGACAAGUUAGUAGCGCAACUCCGGAGCUCAACUUCGGAACUACUAUUAAAACUGUUGGACUUGAGUGCAGGAGGGGAAAGCGGAAUUACUAGUGGAGCAGUGGAAUGCGUAGAUAGUAGGAGGAACACCAGUGGCGAAGGCGGAUUGCUAGACUGUAACUGACACUGAGGCACGAAAGCGUGGGGAGCAAACAGGAUUAGAUACCCGAGUAGUC
RNAcentral lists this ribosomal RNA (443 nucleotides) under uncultured bacterium. Its description in RNAcentral is "partial 16S ribosomal RNA". It matches the Rfam family "Bacterial small subunit ribosomal RNA", at positions 338 to 795 of the family's 1533-position model. The record is from RNAcentral.